This 439-nucleotide ribosomal RNA is filed under the name Lichtheimia corymbifera. RNAcentral's name for it is "partial contains 5.8S ribosomal RNA, internal transcribed spacer 2 and large subunit ribosomal RNA". The stretch from base 1 to 125 matches the Rfam family "5.8S ribosomal RNA", at positions 30 to 154 of the family's 154-position model. The record is from RNAcentral. Lineage: Eukaryota; Fungi; Mucoromycota; Mucoromycetes; Mucorales; Lichtheimiaceae.
GCAUCGAUGAAGAACGCAGCAAAGUGCGAUAAUUAUUGCGACUUGCAUUCAUAGUGAAUCAUCGAGUUCUUGAACGCAUCUUGCGCCUAGUAGUCAAUCUACUAGGCACAGUUGUUUCAGUAUCUGCAUCCACCAAUCAACUUAACCUUUUGUGUUGAGUUGGAACUGGGCUUCUAGUUGAUGGCAUUUAGUUGCUGUCAUGGCCUUAAAUCAAUGUCCUAGGUGUUAGAACAUCUAACACCGGAUGGAAACUUUAGAGCGCUUUAAGAGCAGCUUGGUUAGUGAGUUCAAUAAUUCCAAGCAUUAAGUCUUUUAAUGAACUAGCUUUUCUAUCUAUGGGACACUACUUGGAGAAAUCCAAGUAACCUUUAAACUCACAUUUAGAUCUGAAAUCAACUGAGACCACCCGCUGAACUUAAGCAUAUCAAUAAGCGGAGGA